RNAcentral lists this small RNA (180 nucleotides) under Comamonas sp. AG1104. RNAcentral's name for it is "6S / SsrS RNA". The record is from RNAcentral. Lineage: Bacteria; Pseudomonadati; Pseudomonadota; Betaproteobacteria; Burkholderiales; Comamonadaceae.
AACCGUCUGCAAAUCUGCCGGUUUUUAUAUUUCCUUGAACCAAUGCUCAACGAGCAUGGGCUUGAUAAAUCACCUAUUGAGCGUGAUCGUCUCGCGUCAGAUGAACCCAACGAUAGGUUGCUCUUGCCCACCUGAACCCCCGGUUCAGGAUGACGAACCGGUGGCAUUUGCAGACACCUU